AUGAGCAGAUGGUCUACAUCCUGGGGACGAGAUUGGAAGAGAUGAGAACCAAAGCCCCUCCCAGCCUGGGCAGUCAAUCUGAACACACUUCUCCAGACCUGCUAUUGCAAAGCAGUGUGCCGAAUCAACAGGAGAUGCAUGUUAAAUAAAACCCGACCCAGCCUCUCAAGAGUUUACAAUGCGAUUCUCAGGUUUUCCAAUAUCAUCUUCAUAGAGUUCCUGGAGGAAUUUAAUAAAGUACAGUGAAGAUUCGUUCCUUUCAUCUCCUAAGGACUCUCGUAAUUACUAUUGCUCUGAACCCAGCGGGCAAGAUGCACAUUUCUCUGUCCAGGAAAUGACAGCAGCAGUGUGGUACCCUCUUCUCACUUCGGGGAAAGACUGUGUAUCUGCAUAUUGAGCCUAUCCAGAGUCCGUGUCAGAGCCGGAAUUCUCACUCUUGGGACUGCUCUUCUCAGAACCCAGCUGCUAUCCAUGAAGAGGCCAUGUGCAGGUACUCUGGGUGCAGCCCCAGGAGGGCUCCCAGACAACAGUCACCAUCAACCACCAGCCAUGUGAGGAAACGCUCUCAAGAUGUUCCAGUUCAAUUAAGCCCCCAGAUGACUUUAGCCUCAUCCAACAUUCUGUGGGGCAGAAGAAUCUCCCAGCUGAACCCAUUUAACCCAUAGCGUCAUGAGACAGUAAAAUAUUUGUUGUUAUAAGCCACAAUAUUUUGGAGUGCUUUGUUAUGCAGCAAUAGAUAACCAAAACUUCAGGGUUUUCUAGAGUUCAGAGCCUACCCAGUAAGGUGUCAAAACUUGAAAAGGAAAAAUAUUAACUAUAAUAAA
Molecule: long non-coding RNA, 824 nt
Organism: Pongo pygmaeus (Bornean orangutan)
Lineage: Eukaryota; Metazoa; Chordata; Mammalia; Primates; Hominidae
Exons: 3
Source: RefSeq, a predicted model, not a curated record